This 785-nucleotide ribosomal RNA is filed under the name uncultured Trichocladium. RNAcentral's name for it is "eukaryotic LSU rRNA". The stretch from base 223 to 785 matches the Rfam family "Eukaryotic large subunit ribosomal RNA", at positions 1 to 576 of the family's 3401-position model. Lineage: Eukaryota; Fungi; Ascomycota. The record is from RNAcentral.
AAUCUUUGAACGCACAUUGCGCCCGCCAGUAUUCUGGCGGGCAUGCCUGUUCGAGCGUCAUUUCAACCAUCAAGCCCCCGGCUUGUGUUGGGGACCUGCGGCUGCCGCAGGCCCUGAAAACCAGUGGCGGGCUCGCUAGUCACUCCGAGCGUAGUAAUACAUACAUCUCGCUCAGGGCGUGCUGCGGGUUCCGGCCGUUAAAAAGCCUUAUUUACCCAAGGUUGACCUCGGAUCAGGUAGGAAGACCCGCUGAACUUAAGCAUAUCAAUAAGCGGAGGAAAAGAAACCAACAGGGAUUGCCCUAGUAACGGCGAGUGAAGCGGCAACAGCUCAAAUUUGAAAUUCGGCUUCGGCCCGAGUUGUAAUUUGUAGAGGAUGCUUUGGGUGCGGCUCUGACUGAGUUCCCUGGAACGGGACGCCACAGAGGGUGAGAGCCCCGUAUAGUCAGAUGCCUAGCCUAUGUAAAGCUCCUUCGACGAGUCGAGUAGUUUGGGAAUGCUGCUCAAAAUGGGAGGUAAAUUUCUUCUAAAGCUAAAUAUUGGCCAGAGACCGAUAGCGCACAAGUAGAGUGAUCGAAAGAUGAAAAGCACUUUGAAAAGAGGGUUAAAUAGCACGUGAAAUUGUUGAAAGGGAAGCGCUUGUGACCAGACUUGCGCCGGGCAGAUCAUCCGGUGUUCUCACCGGUGCACUCUGCCCGGCUCAGGCCAGCAUCGGUUCUCGUGGGGGGAUAAAGGUCCCGGGAACGUAGCUCCUCCGGGAGUGUUAUAGCCCGGGGCGCAAUGCCC